Molecule: long non-coding RNA, 457 nt
Organism: Rosa chinensis
Lineage: Eukaryota; Viridiplantae; Streptophyta; Magnoliopsida; Rosales; Rosaceae
Exons: 3
Source: RefSeq, a predicted model, not a curated record
CUCCCAGAUCAAAACCAAGAUAAUAAAGGUUUGCAUCACUAGCUGUUACCCAAUUUGUUCGUUGUUAUUUAUUUUGUCUUCGAAUGAUUGCUAUCUAGUGGUUUUGUUAUUGGAUAGUUAACUUUAAUUUUAUAAAUACUAAAAGCCUAUGGUAUAUAGAUAUACUACUCUGCAGAUUAAUAGAUGGACUGACUGUAACCUCACUAGAGCUCUUGGUCUGCUCAGAGUUCUAAUUUUACAAGGGUAUUCCUCCUUAACCAAACAACAAGGAGUGUGGCUACUUUAUCAUGCGAUACAUGAGAGACAUCAUUGAGGAUAAAGACUUUUCAUUUGUUAACAAGUGGGAGAGAAGAAGCAGCCUUGUUUAUACCCAAGUGGAUAUUGAUGAGAUAAGGAAUGAGUGGGCUAGGUUUGUGGUUAAUGGAUACGUGUAGGAGCCAUCACUAGCUGAUGUUUU